Misgurnus anguillicaudatus (oriental weatherfish) is the source of this 2107-nucleotide non-coding RNA. Lineage: Eukaryota; Metazoa; Chordata; Actinopteri; Cypriniformes; Cobitidae. The record is from RefSeq and is a predicted model, not a curated record.
AGCAAAAUCACCAGUGUUAAAUUUUCAGGGAUGGUGUUAAAUACACAGUGUUGAUGCUGUUUUAACACUAUCUGGUAAUAAAAUAACACUGCCAUUGUUAGGCCAGUGUUAUAUCCACGACAGUGUCAGUGUAAAACAAGGGUGUUAUCAGAUUUCACUCUGAGCGGUGUAAAUCAAGCCACGCCUCCACUAAACAUUUCCUGUCAGUGUCAGGGAUUUUACCGCCAUUUUCUUUCAAAGGAGGACUGAAGAGAGCAGGUAAAUCUCAUAAUAUUCACAUGGUUUAGCUAAAUUAAACUGUUAUUUCUCUGUCUGACUCUACGCAGCCAUUUGCCAAAAAACCUAAAUAAGAUAUUUUUCCCAUUUUAUUUCCCCUUUGUUCGUUAUUUGGUUCAGUUUAAUCAGAGCUACCUUGUGUUACGUUGUUCCCUUGUUAGUUUGGUAUAAAGUUAAACUUCUAGCUUAAAGUUUUAACCAAGAAGGAUAAUAUUAACAGGAGAUAUGAAUGAAUGUAAGAAUUGAACCCUGAUAAAACGCGACAUGCACUACGUUGUACAAAAUGAAAGCUCGUUUAUUCACCAUAUGAUGCUCGUUAUGAGGUAAUCAUAUAGGCUAGAUACCGUGAGUUAACGAGGUCGUUUACAUGCACGUGAGUGCACGGAUAUCGGUUAAUUAUUCAGAUUACUGAAAAACACGGAGAAAACCACAACCGCAUCGUCAUGUGUUUUAAAAAAAAAAAAUGUUUUGAUGUAUGCAAACAGGGAAAAUAUCGCCAAACCAACAAUUAAUUUUACCUCAGAAUAUGCACAGAUUGGAUGCAUUGUGUGUUGUAAGCUUUUCGUGGCGCUAGAUGUCAGACAGAUGCAAAUAGCAAAUACAUACGAAAGUGUAAAACGUGUAUGGCGAACAUUUGUUUUUCUGUCAUUAUAAAUGCUAGUUUGGUGAAAGUACACUGAGUGCUUAAAAUCAUUCAGAAGAGAUGCUGUUUUUAGGGCAGUUUAUUAAAGAAGACCUGACAUGGAUGACUUCCAAUGAGAAACGACUGCUAAUACUUAUAUAAAUUCAUUACAGAAGGACCCUACCAGACUAUUUGAAUACGGCAUACCCAUGAAUUCUGAACUGUUAUUCCUUAACCCAGUUUGGAGGAUAAGAGCUUACCAACUAGUUAUGUGAGUACACAGAGUACAUUAGUACUGUACACUGUCUCUAACAUGAUUUGUUAUACUGAGAUGAUUUUGAUUCAAAUAACGGUUAAAACUGCACCCUUUUUGGUAUUUUCUUGACUCUUUUUGUCUUUGAAAAUCUGCAGAAAUAUGCUGAGGCGAUGUAUUGCAAAAUAGCCAACAUACAACAAUUAAAGGAUAAUUGCAGCCUAUAUCCUGAUGAAGAUAUGGAUGACCCUCUGUCUGGUCAACAGGAGUUUAAAUAUGGACGGGACAGUUAUGUGGCAGCUCUUCCCUGGCUCAUUCACCUCUUGCCUUCAUUUGUGAAAGGAAGAAAGACUGGAGAGGGUCAAUGUGCAACUGAAGCUACUGAUUGUGCUGUGUGAUGAGCAUCAAUCCAUGCUUUGAGGUGGAUGAAUCAGCACAGCCCUGCUCUGCGUUGGGAACAAAAGUUGCAUCCAGAAUUUUUGCAUCAUUCUGGACCAAAAAGCCAUUCCCUCCAUGAUGAAGACCACUGAUGCAGCCUUACACUACUGUACAGUAAAACAACUACAGAACUAAAUACCAGGUUGGAACGUGUUUAAGAAAAAUGAAACGUCUUUUGAAUUGAAAUGUCUGUUUUGUUAUGGAAAAAUCUUUAGUAUUGUGAAGGAUAAGCAUUUCUGCUUGCCGAUAAGGUAAUUGCAUGUAUUUUAAUGUUCAAGUUUUGAGUAGGGUGGCUAAUUUUUUUAACUCUUAUUUGAUUUAUUAAAGACCUUUAUAAUAAGUGAUUUUCAUGUCACUGCGCUGUGGUAUAAGAUAACUUUCAUUAUUCCAUACUGUAUUCUGUUUCUAAUUGUAGCUGAGGUAUUUAAAUAAGCAGUGUUAAAUGCAAAGUGUUGUGUGUAUCAAUGUAAAUAUUAAAUGUGAUUUACUCUAAUAAAAAGAGGUUUUGCAGUAUUUCU